Long non-coding RNA from Apis florea (little honeybee), 490 nucleotides. NCBI's taxonomy places the organism in Eukaryota, Metazoa, Arthropoda, Insecta, Hymenoptera, Apidae. The record is from RefSeq and is a predicted model, not a curated record.
UCUCUCUCUCUGUCUCUCUCUCUCUCCUCCUCGUUCCCCUUCUUCUUGGAGAUAAGAGGCACUUUUAGAGGGUAGGAAGGUGCUCGUGCUACUCCCCCGUGGAUCGUGGUACUGAUUGUGUGCCUGGGUUUAUCCAGUGACCACGCCGUUGACGAAACCAGCGCGGAGAAGCUCGGCCGCUGGUGAAAGCUGCCUCAGCCAGAACGCGGUACAUCCGACCUCGACGACAUCCAGUCACUACACCACACCGUCGCCACCUCAGCAUCCCCAGACUCACGGCGACUUUCAAAGCGGACCAGGCCGACCCGUGGAAGAGAUAAACGCGAGAAUAGACCAACUGUCGCGGCAAGUGUCCUCGCUGGAACACUCGAUGGGGGAGAACAUAAGGUUGAUAUUGACGCUGCUCCAACAGACGCUCAACUCGUCGAGGGAGAGUUCGAGCAUCGAGAUGAUGGGCGGCGGGCCGACCUCGGUCGGCCUGUCGAAAAGU